CAGUCCGUUACACUGGCGCGAAAUGUAUGAGAAGAUGGCGAACGUCAAGGCAGCAGGAGCUAACGUUAGCGCUCACCAAGAAAAAAAAAACACUUUAGAAAGUUCUGAUGACGAAACAGACAUUGAGAUGAAGCGACAAUAUGAAAAAGCAAAAAGACAAAAAAAGGUUGGAAAGGAGAGGGUCCUCACUCAGCUGAAGGAUACACUGAGGAAACCACUCCACUCUGAUCCACGCAGAACCAACCCGUUACAUAGUGAGGAGGAAGUUCAAGCCGAAACCGUGGACACAAAUGUGGAUUUGUUCGAUUACCCAGAGAAUUUUCAACCAACCGAUACCUUAGAUGCUGCUGAGGCAAGUGGAGAGAGCGUGGAACAGCCAUUAUUUGUCAGUGGUGAAGUGUUGAAAGCUUUGAAAGGUACAGUAUAAAAUACCUGAAAUGAGUUGUGCUAAGGGAUGCUAUGUGGAUAAUUAUGUCUUAAAUAUACUAUAUAUACAAUAAUACAUUUGUGAUUGUAAUUUUCUAUUGACUUGAUUUGUAUUUAAAGCAGUAAAAAGUGGUUGUACUGUAUUUCAUUUCUUUAGAUAGAUUCUGAGCAUUAAGCAUUUACAGUCUUUGUAAUCAUUCUAAGCAGCCAUCUUUCUUCAUAACUUUUUUAAUAGAAAUCUUUUCGACACCUCUAGAAAUCUCAACUGUGGCGUUUGGCAUCUUGUUCCUACCCCACUUACGAUGUGUUUUUACACGUAUUACCUGUGCUGUGCAUCAGGAGUGGAGCGGUACAUAUAUUCGUAUUGAACCAAUUUGGUACAAGGGUCACGGUUUUGGUGCACGCAUUUACACAGAAAAUACACUGCAAAGCGGAACUAUUGUUAGAUACGCAUGUUCUUUGGGGACACAUAAUAUGUGACGCGCGUCCUAUUCGCUUUGGACUAAUGUCAAACUAGACGCAAAUUUUAAGCAUUUCUUUGUUUGCGUUGAUUACAAUGCUGGAGUGUGUGUGUGCUCGCACGCGCGGUAGAGAGAGAAAGAUAUAGUGUGUUCACUGUAGCACAAGAGAGAUCGAGACAGAGAAGCAAUUUGUCCUCGAGUGUCACAAAUACAAAAUUCCCACCUUAGUGCAGUGUGUCAAGGAACUAAUAUCCUCAAUGAACACAGGGAUCGAUACAGCAAGCACAAGCUCAGGGUCCUCCAGCUCAGCCCAAGAGAUGAUUUCUCUGGGCAACAUGGCUGUCCAAGUCAACAAAACCUGCUUUAGGAGAUUGAAUAGGAGCAGAAUGUCCCUGUUCACUCAAGAGUUAGCUGUUUUGUUGUUUGGGAGGGAGGUUCUGGGUUCAUCUAGCCUCACUGGGAAUAGGUCCCAAAAAAAGAAAGGCUGAACCCAGAAAAAAUGAAUGCACUUAUCGACACUGUCAUAUCUGAGUUUCCGGGCACGUCACAGUCCGAGGUUAGAGCAGUAAUACGGCGAAAGUGCAAUAACGAAAGUUUUGUUUCAAAAAAAAAAAACACUGUAAAGGUAAUUUUUUGUUGUUGUUGGGAAAGGAAUGUGAAAGUAAAGAAGAAAUUUGUGUUUUGUUCAUAUAAGAUACGUACAGUAAUCUGUAGUUUAAUCAUUUUAUUAAAGGGUUAGUUCACCCAAAAAUCGAAAAGUUCUUUGUAUUUAGUCACCCGCGUGUUGUUCUAAACCCUUAAGAUUCCAUUAACCAUCGCAUCACAAAAUAUUAUAUUUAUGAUGGAAUCUGAGCGCUGGAUAAGUCUUCCAUUGACUUCCAAGGGGCUUAAACUUGCUCGAUCAGAAAUCGUAUUAAGACAUUGUUUGAAAUUGUCUAAGUGACUCCAGUGGCUCAACCAUCCAUUUAUCAAGCGACGAGAAUAGUUUUUUUUGUGCCAAAAACAAACAAAAAUAACGAAUUUAUUCCAAUAUCCAUUUACUCGUGUUGUGCUUGAAAGUUGUUUACGUAGUGUAUCUGCGCGAGCUUCUGGGUUCUACGUCACCAGGCAUCACACACAUGACCUGCGUUGGCCAAUAGUGAGCCUGUAUGGUGACGUAGAACCCAGAAGCGCUGCGCAGAUAGACUACGUAAACAACUUUGAAGCACAACACUAG
Molecule: long non-coding RNA, 2103 nt
Organism: Cyprinus carpio carpio
Lineage: Eukaryota; Metazoa; Chordata; Actinopteri; Cypriniformes; Cyprinidae
Source: Ensembl